Bos taurus (domestic cattle) is the source of this 323-nucleotide long non-coding RNA. The record is from Ensembl. Lineage: Eukaryota; Metazoa; Chordata; Mammalia; Artiodactyla; Bovidae.
GCAAUUCGAGAUUUCUCCCGUGGCUUCCGAGGAAAAGGAGGCCCCUACCCUGUAUCUGUGCCCUCCUUUGCAUCAGGGACCUAAACUGCUGUUUUGGAGAGGUUGUCUCUACCCCUCAGCUUGGUUGGUUUGAAACCCUGCACGACCUGUGAAGUCUUCCCCGGAUGGCUACAUCGUCUGGGGUCCCUUGUCCUGCCUGUACCCACAGCAAGCCCACGAAUCCAGGGCUUCCCUUGUUUCUGGAACAGCAAGCACGUCUACAUGCCGGGAGCCAUGAACAAGAUCUGUCAGGGGAAGCCUCAGUUGGCACCACCCAGGGCUGC